GGCCCGGAGCGCACGGGCUUGGCGCGGCCUCGGGACACUUCCUCGCGGGCUCCCGGGUGCCUGCAGCCCGACUGGCGUCCACAGACGGAGCUCGCGAGCCUUAGAGAGCUGCAGGAGUUGGACACCACUCCCAUCUGCAGAAAAUUGGUAACAUCUCAGAGGAGCCCUUGCUUCUUCCGGGACAUCCAGCAUCAUGGUUUCUCAUUUCAUGGGGUCUCUUAGUGUCCUGGGUUCCCUCCUGCUGCUUGGAUUGCAGCUCGUCUGCCCACAGCCCUCCACUGAGCACAGAAAGGUGGUUGGCUGGAUUUGGCCCAUGGCCCACAGUUUGGAGACCACCACUGUGAUGUCUGAUAGAGAGGAGUUAACUGCAAGUAUAUGUGUUUUGGAAUUUAAAGUUGGAAGUGUUUCCUCCUGGAACCUUAAGGAACACAAAUGAUUUAAGAAAAAAGUCUAUUUUUUUUAAUUAAAACAUAGAAUUAUGAUUGCUAUCAAAUUGGUCUCAUUGCUUCGAUAAAUCAUAAUUGAAUUCCUGCUGACCUAUUGUUUCCUGACAAAAUCCAUUCCCAAUUUGUAGCAGAGAGCAGCAGAAAGAAUUAGAAAACCAUUUAUGGUAAAUUCUUAAGGGACGGCAUUACUAAUUUGUGCAUAUUGCUGUUUAGUUGUAUAUGAAAACUAUCCACCAAAAGUCGCCUCUUUUUCUUUUUCAUUACAAUAGCAUGUCCAACUUUAGCAUAUGGAAGCAUUUCUGCAGUGUAAGUUAUUCUGAGGAAAAGACAUAAUUUGUAAAUGCUGUCAAGUAAACUAUGCUUUUCUAAAUGCAGUUUUGGUGACUGGAUGCAUCUCUGUAUAACUCGUCCCUGGUGCAGGAAAAGGAGACUGUGGUGCAGAGUGUGAGUAGCUCUUUUCAGAUAUUUCUCUGCAGAUGUCUUCCUCUUGCUCCUGCAACAAGGACAUGAUUACAAGGGAUGGCUCAACCUCUGUUCUUAGUUGUUUUCAGUGACACUUGGCAAAUGAUUAUAUUUUUAAAACUUUCUGUGGCUUCAUUUGCAGAUAAGCUAAAACUGGGACCAGGAAAAUAAACUUGACCAAGACUUUAAUAAAAACCGUCCG
Molecule: long non-coding RNA, 1110 nt
Filed under: Vulpes vulpes (red fox)
Lineage: Eukaryota; Metazoa; Chordata; Mammalia; Carnivora; Canidae
Description: lncRNA (ENSVVUG00000015246.1)
Source: RNAcentral